This 72-nucleotide transfer RNA is filed under the name Armatimonadota bacterium. Its description in RNAcentral is "Armatimonadetes bacterium (bioreactor metagenome) tRNA-Asp". It matches the Rfam family "tRNA". Rfam says of the family: Transfer RNA (tRNA) molecules are approximately 80 nucleotides in length. Their secondary structure includes four short double-helical elements and three loops (D, anti-codon, and T loops). Lineage: Bacteria; Bacillati; Armatimonadota. The record is from RNAcentral.
GGGGCUGUAGCUCAGUCGGUUUCAGAGUGCCACCCUGUCAAGGUGGAAGUCGCGGGUUCGAGUCCCGUCAAC